RNAcentral lists this unclassified non-coding RNA (262 nucleotides) under Hevea brasiliensis (rubber tree). The record is from RNAcentral. Lineage: Eukaryota; Viridiplantae; Streptophyta; Magnoliopsida; Malpighiales; Euphorbiaceae.
AAAAAAAAUUUGUCUUUUUAAUUUUGUUUUUAUCCCUUUAAUUGACUUAGUCAAAUAGAAUAAUUAAAUAGUAAUUAUUUAUGAAGUAAUUCUUAGGUCAUGUAGGAGAUGUCAUUAUUCUAAUUUUUUUCUUUUUCUGUAAAACCCUCACUGUAGCAAUUCUGUACAUUCUACUAUUCCGGUGAUCGGUGUCAGUUUGGACAGCUAGAAUGUCUGGAAAAACAUUUAAACUAAAGUGAGGAGCCAUAAUUAACUCAAAUAU